UAAGAAAAAACCAAAAAAUAUUUUCUGGAAAUAUUUUCCAUCAUACCAAACACACCCUAUGACUCAUCAGUUUAUCUGGAAAAAGGGCGGUGAUUAUACUUUCUAUAAAGUUCCAAAUAAGUCUGAUUACUUCCUCCAGAGCUUUGGUGUUCAUCUUGCUUAGGUGCAAGCUGAUGAGGUUAUAGUAGCCACACCAACUGGAAGUACGACUUAUUCUACGGCUGCUGGAGGUUCCAUGGUACCUAUUAUAGCCUGAAAGAUGUGAAACUUUUUAACCUACAUGAAUAGUUGAACAUAUGUGUGCUAAAAAUGCCACAAGCAAUGAGUUGUAUCCACAACAAAGAAUAAGCUAAAGCUGACAGCUUGAGCAGUUUGUUGUGGCAAUAAUGAACUGCUGAAAAAGAAGCAGUACACCACUCCUUCCCCUCUCUAGACGAAAUAAGAGCAGAAGAGAUAGAAAACAAAGAAGACUGCAUUAUGCACUUAAUAUAUAGUAAAGAUAUAUAAGUUUCAUGACAUAUUUUACAGAGCUGUUGGUAGAAGAGUGAUUCCUCAUGUCAAUAGUUAACUCUUGAUGUGGAAACGGAGGGAUGCUGUCGCAUUUGGGUUCCUGAUUAGAAACCUACUAUUGAUUUUUCUGGAAAAGGUUCAAAACCCAUCAUUGAUUACCAAAAACACCAAUGGCAAGACUUCUUUAUAUGGUUCUGUAUUCAAUGGUAUUGAUGUUUAUGGUUCUUAGCUGCUUUACAUAAUCUCAUAUUGAUCAAGUUGUUUACUUCUUUUCACUUCCUAUUUAUUAUUCAUGAUAAAGCAAUAAAUGCAUAAUCUUGUCUUCAGCUCAUAUUUGGUUUACUGAUUGAGAACAGUGGAGAUCAUAAAAUUCUCUCAUAAACUGGCACUCUUAGUGUUAAUGUGUGCAAUAAGGCCAUAACCUAAAGCAGUCAAAUCACGUUGUCAGCAAGUAUGAACAAAUUGGAUGAACUAUGUGCAUGGUUGACAUUCUUGGGCGUAAUGGGAAACUGCUUUCCGGCCUAAUAGGAGACACAUGCAUUUUGGUAAAGGUGACUGGCACUGAUUUUGGUAAAGUAAUUGAUUAGUUGUAAAGGUGACUUUAAUUCUCUUAUAUGAAUUUGAUUAUGAUUUUCAGCUGGCUAGACAUGUUUUCAUUGUAUAUUUGUUGUGUUGACUUUUGCUGAUAGUCUGAAUAUGUUUUAUUUAAAAUAAGAAUUUUAUAUACUAAGUAUGAAUUUGUACUCACAUGUGUCUUUUCCACAGCUUAUUAUGCAGGUUGUGAAUCCAGCUCUUUGGGUCCUUAAAUUUGAAGAUUCUAAUGUAGUAGUUGGUCUCCUUUUGUACUUCAUGCUUUAUGAUUUGAUUAUCUUUUGUUAAUUUUUUAAUUAAAAUUUAUUAUUUAAUUAAAUUUUGUAAAUGAAAAUAGUCUUAACAAAAUUAAUAUUUUAUAUAAACUUUUAUUUAAAGUA
RNA transcript from Capsicum annuum, 1481 nucleotides. It is a transcript of the gene named NAD kinase-like, with no coding region annotated. NCBI's taxonomy places the organism in Eukaryota, Viridiplantae, Streptophyta, Magnoliopsida, Solanales, Solanaceae. The record is from RefSeq and is a predicted model, not a curated record. The transcript is spliced from 2 exons.